RNAcentral lists this ribosomal RNA (305 nucleotides) under uncultured eukaryote. RNAcentral describes it as "partial 18S ribosomal RNA". It matches the Rfam family "Eukaryotic small subunit ribosomal RNA", at positions 629 to 956 of the family's 1831-position model. The record is from RNAcentral.
CGUAGUCGAAUUUCGGGAUUGUCCGCUUGGUCUUGCUUUGAGGUACUCUGCGGGUUUUCCUUUUUUCUCGGUAGAUUACACAUUGUGUAAAAAGUCGAGACUUUUACUUUGAAUAAAUUAGAGUGUUCAAAGCAGGCUUUUGCUUGAAUACAUUAGCAUGGAAUAAUAAAAUAGGACUUUGGUUUUAUUUUGUUGGUUUUAAGAACCAAAGUAAUGAUUAAUAGGGACAGUUGGGGGGGUUAGUAUUUAAAAAGCAGAAAAAAAAUUCUUGUUUUUUCUAAAGACUAAUGGGGGCGAAAGCCUUU